CCCUAGUAUUAUUUAAUACAUAAGAAGAAUUAUAUAAAUGAAAAUGAAAGUUUCUGGCGGUUAAUUGUUAUUUAGAGGAGCUUGUUAUUUUUUGAUAAGAAUUUACUCUUUAUAUUUCAUAAAUAAAAAGUUUAUUCAUCUCCGUUAUUAGAUAUUUAUUAGUAAAAUUUAUUUUAAAAUUUCAGGUCUAGAUGUAGCAUUUAUUUUAGGUAAUUAGCUACAGUUGUAAAAUAGUGGAUUUUUGUUUUAAAUCAAAAGGAAAGUGAAUUUGAUUGUAAUUUUAGCUACAAGGCUAAAAUGAAUUGUUAUAAUUAAUGUA
RNAcentral lists this ribosomal RNA (319 nucleotides) under Acutisoma longipes. RNAcentral describes it as "partial 12S ribosomal RNA". The record is from RNAcentral. Lineage: Eukaryota; Metazoa; Arthropoda; Arachnida; Opiliones; Gonyleptidae.